Chrysemys picta bellii (western painted turtle) is the source of this 317-nucleotide long non-coding RNA. RefSeq lists it as uncharacterized. The record is from RefSeq and is a predicted model, not a curated record. NCBI's taxonomy places the organism in Eukaryota, Metazoa, Chordata, Testudines, Emydidae.
GUCUGAGAUGGCUAUUCCCUGCUCGUCUCACAGCUAUUCGUCGGGGUAUACUUAUAGAGCACAGAAGCGGAGCAUAGAGGCUCUUGGGACACAUUGCAUCAGGCCUGCAGUUAAGAAGCUGAAAGAAAAGAUCUGAGUGACAUGGGAACAUGAUAGCAGAGGAAACUGAGGCACAGAGACAGGAGGAGACUUUUCCAAGGUCACCCAUCAGGUCAGUGGGAGAUCGUGCAUUGGAGCGCAGGAGUUCAGGAGUCUGUAUUACACCAUGACUACAGUCAAGCUCUGAGAGGAUCCCAGGAGGAGACAAGCCAAGGCAU